AGGGAAUAUUGGACAAUGGGCGAAAGCCUGAUCCAGCCAUGCCGCGUGUGUGAAGAAGGUCUUCGGAUUGUAAAGCACUUUAAGUUGGGAGGAAGGGCAGUAAGUUAAUACCUUGCUGUUUUGACGUUACCAACAGAAUAAGCACCGGCUAACUUCGUGCCAGCAGCCGCGGUAAUACGAAGGGUGCAAGCGUUAAUCGGAAUUACUGGGCGUAAAGCGCGCGUCGGUGGUUUGGUAAGAUGGAUGUGAAAUCCCCGGGCUCAACCUGGGAACGGCGUGCAUAACUGGCUGAGUAGAGUACGGUAGAGGGUGGUGGAAUGUCCUGUGUAGCGGUGAAAUGCGUAGAUAUAGGAAGGAACACCAGUGGCGAAGGCGACCACCUGGACUGAUACUGACACGGACGUGCGAAAGCGUGGGGAGCAAACA
This 426-nucleotide ribosomal RNA is filed under the name uncultured Pseudomonadaceae bacterium. RNAcentral's name for it is "bacterial SSU rRNA". It matches the Rfam family "Bacterial small subunit ribosomal RNA", at positions 356 to 774 of the family's 1533-position model. The record is from RNAcentral. Lineage: Bacteria; Pseudomonadati; Pseudomonadota; Gammaproteobacteria; Pseudomonadales; Pseudomonadaceae.